AUGCCGUCCGACGCCGCGGCCAAGGGGGUGAAGCUGGAGCGGUACGCCAGCGGCGGCGCGCUGCUGCUGCGCCGGGUGGCCAGCGGCAAGUUCGUCUCCGCCUCGUCGCACCUGCUCUUCCGCGCCACCGUGCUCGCCACGCUCGCGCUCGUCUUCCUCUUCGCGCUGCACUACCCGUCCCUCCUCUCCCGCUCCUUCAGCCUCGCCUCCGCCGACGGCGCCUCCUCGUCCUCCUCCUCCGCGCCGUCGCGGUCCCACCGGAGCCUGCUCGCGUCCUCGUCGGCCGCGGCCACGUACGGGAGCGAGCGGUGGCAGAAGGAGAUACGGCGCAGCGCCAAGCCGCGGCGGGACGGGGGGCUGUCCGUGCUCGUCACGGGCGCCGGCGGGUUCGUCGGCGCGCACUGCUCGCUCGCGCUCAAGGCGCGCGGCGACGGCGUCGUCGGCCUCGACAACUUCAACUCCUACUACGACCCGGCGCUCAAGCGCGGCCGCCAGGCGCUCCUCGCCGACCGCGGCGUCGUCGUGCUCGACGCCGACAUCAACGACGCGCUGCUUCUGGAGAAGCUCUUCGAGGCGGUGCCCUUCACGCACGUGCUGCACCUGGCGGCGCAGGCCGGGGUGCGCUACGCCAUGGAGGCGCCGCAGACGUACGUGGCGUCCAACGUGGCCGGGCUGGUGAGCGUGUUCGAGGCGGCCGCCAAGCACGCCGACCCGCAGCCGGCCGUCGUCUGGGCCUCCUCCUCCUCCGUCUACGGGCUCAACACCGACGCGCCCUUCUCCGAGGACCACCGCACCGACCGCCCGGCGUCGCUCUACGCGGCCACCAAGAAGGCCGGCGAGGCCAUCGCGCACGCCUACAACCACAUCUACGGCCUCUCCAUCACCGGCCUCCGCUUCUUCACCGUGUACGGGCCCUGGGGCCGCCCCGACAUGGCCUACUUCUCCUUCGCCCGCAGCAUCGUGGCCGGCGAGCCCAUCACGCUCUACGCCGACGCGCGCCGCGACUUCACCUACAUCGACGACGUGGUCAAGGGGUGCGUCGGCGCGCUGGACACCGCCGGCAGGAGCACCGGGUCCGCCAGGUCCGGCAAGAAGAGCGGGCCCGCGCCGCUGCGCGUGUACAACCUGGGCAACACCUCCCCGGUGCCGGUGACCCGGAUGGUGGCCAUCCUGGAGAAGCUGCUGGGGAAGAAGGCCAACAAGCGCAUCAUCGCCAUGCCCAGCAACGGCGACGUGCCCUUCACCCACGCCAACGUGAGCCACGCGGCGCACGACUUCGGGUACCGCCCCACCACCUCCCUCGACGCCGGGCUGCGCCACUUCGUGGACUGGUUCGUGCAGUACUACAAGCUGGACAUCAAGAUCGCCAAACCGGCCGCCAGCAAGAAGCCGGCGGCGACGAAGAAGAAGACCUCGGCGACGUCGGCAUCAUCGUGA
This 1437-nucleotide ribosomal RNA is filed under the name Triticum aestivum (bread wheat). RNAcentral's name for it is "partial small subunit ribosomal RNA". Lineage: Eukaryota; Viridiplantae; Streptophyta; Magnoliopsida; Poales; Poaceae. The record is from RNAcentral.